GGUUUAGCUCAGUUGGUAGAGCACUGGUCUCCAAAACCAGGUGUCGGGAGUUCGAGUCUCUCAACC
RNAcentral lists this transfer RNA (66 nucleotides) under Indolivaga capnocytophagoides. It matches the Rfam family "tRNA". Rfam says of the family: Transfer RNA (tRNA) molecules are approximately 80 nucleotides in length. Their secondary structure includes four short double-helical elements and three loops (D, anti-codon, and T loops). Lineage: Bacteria; Pseudomonadati; Bacteroidota; Bacteroidia; Bacteroidales; Dysgonomonadaceae. The record is from RNAcentral. RNAcentral also lists the same sequence under 50 other names.